RNAcentral lists this ribosomal RNA (1439 nucleotides) under uncultured bacterium. Its description in RNAcentral is "bacterial SSU rRNA". It matches the Rfam family "Bacterial small subunit ribosomal RNA". The record is from RNAcentral.
AGGGUUUGAUCAUGGCUCAGAACGUACGCUGGCGGCACGCCUAACACAUGCAAGUCGAACGAAGUAGCAAUACUUAGUGGCAGACGGGUGAGUAACAUGUAGGUAUCUGCCCUUUGGCCUGGAAUAACACGAGGAAACUUGUGCUAAUACCGGAUAAGUCUUUACGGAGAAAGCUUUAUGCACCAUUGGAUGAGCCUGCACUUGAUUAGUUUGUUGGUGGGGUAAUGGCCUACCAAGACUGUGAUCAAUAGCUGAUUUGAGAGGAUGAUCAGCCACAUUGGGACUGAGACACGGCCCAAACUCCUACGGGAGGCAGCAGUGGGGAAUCUUGCACAAUGGAGGAAACUCUGAUGCAGCGAUGCCGCGUGAGUGAAGAAGGCCCUUGGGUUGUAAAGCUCUUUCGUCGGGGAAGAAAAUGACUGUACCCGAAUAAGAAGGUCCGGCUAACUUCGUGCCAGCAGCCGCGGUAAUACGAAGGGACCUAGCGUAGUUCGGAAUUACUGGGCUUAAAGAGUUCGUAGGUGGUUGAAAAAGUUGGUGGUGAAAUCCCAGAGCUUAACUCUGGAACUGCCAUCAAAACUUUUCAGCUAGAGUAUGAUAGAGGAAAGCAGAAUUUCUAGUGUAGAGGUGAAAUUCGUAGAUAUUAGAAAGAAUACCAAUUGCGAAGGCAGCUUUCUGGAUCAUUACUGACACUGAGGAACGAAAGCAUGGGUAGCGAAGAGGAUUAGAUACCCUCGUAGUCCAUGCCGUAAACGAUGUGUGUUAGACGUUGGAAAUUUAUUUUCAGUGUCGCAGCGAAAGCGAUAAACACACCGCCUGGGGAGUACGACCGCAAGGUUAAAACUCAAAUGAAUUGACGGGGACCCGCACAAGUAGUGGAGCAUGUGGUUUAAUUCGAAGAUACGCGCAGAACCUUACCAACACUUGACAUGUUCGUCGCGACUCUAAGAGAUUAGAGUUUUCGGUUCGGCCGGACGAAACACAGGUGCUGCAUGGCUGUCGUCAGCUCGUGUCGUGAGAUGUUGGGUUAAGUCCCGCAACGAGCGCAACCCUCACUUUUAGUUGCCAUCAUUAAGUUGGGCACUCUGAAAGAACUGCCAGUGAUAAGCUGGAGGAAGGUGGGGAUGACGUCAAGUCCUCAUGGCCCUUACGUGUUGGGCUACACACGUGCUACAAUGGUAUCUACAACAGGAAGCAAGACUGCGAAGUUAAGCAAAUCCCUAAAAGAUACCUCAGUUCGGAUUGCACUCUGCAACUCGAGUGCAUGAAGCUGGAAUUACUAGUAAUCGUGGAUCAGCGUGCCACGGUGAAUGCGUUCCCGGGUCUUGUACACACCGCCCGUCACACCAUGGGAGUUGGUUCUACCUUAAGGCAAGGUUUUAAACCCUUGACCACGGUAUAGUCAGUGACUGGGGUGAAGUCAUAACAAGGUAGCCGUA